GACGAACGCUGGCGGCGUGCUUAACACAUGCAAGUCGAACGGAAAGGCCCUGCUUUUGUGGGGUGCUCGAGUGGCGAACGGGUGAGUAACACGUGAGUAACCUGCCCUUGACUUUGGGAUAACUUCAGGAAACUGGGGCUAAUACCGGAUAGGAGCUCCUGCUGCAUGGUGGGGGUGGGAAAGUUUCGGCGUUUGGGGAUGGACUCGCGGCUUAUCAGCUUGUUGGUGGGGUAGUGGCUUACCAAGGCUUUGACGGGUAGCCGGCCUGAGAGGGUGACCGGCCACAUUGGGACUGAGAUACGGCCCAGACUCCUACGGGAGGCAGCAGUGGGGAAUAUUGCACAAUGGGCGGAAGCCUGAAGCAGCAACGCCGCGUGCGGGAUGACGGCCUUCGGGUUGUAAACCGCUUUCGCCUGCGACGAAGCGUGAGUGACGGUAAUGGGUAAAGAAGCACCGGCUAACUACGUG
RNAcentral lists this ribosomal RNA (468 nucleotides) under uncultured bacterium. RNAcentral's name for it is "partial 16S ribosomal RNA". It matches the Rfam family "Bacterial small subunit ribosomal RNA", at positions 28 to 507 of the family's 1533-position model. The record is from RNAcentral.